RNAcentral lists this ribosomal RNA (253 nucleotides) under uncultured bacterium. Its description in RNAcentral is "partial 16S ribosomal RNA". It matches the Rfam family "Bacterial small subunit ribosomal RNA", at positions 524 to 776 of the family's 1533-position model. The record is from RNAcentral.
UACGUAGGGGGCAAGCGUUGUCCGGAAUCAUUGGGCGUAAAGCGCGUGUAGGCGGCUCGAAAAGUCUGGUGUGAAAUCUUGGGGCUCAACCCCAAGCUGUCACUGGAUACUGUCGGGCUUGAGUCCGGAAGAGGAGUGUGGAAUUCCUGGUGUAGCGGUGGAAUGCGCAGAUAUCAGGAGGAACACCAAUGGCGAAGGCAGCACUCUGGGCCUGCACUGACGCUCAUGCACGAAAGCGUGGGGAGCAAACAGG